Molecule: long non-coding RNA, 272 nt
Filed under: Bactrocera tryoni
Lineage: Eukaryota; Metazoa; Arthropoda; Insecta; Diptera; Tephritidae
Description: uncharacterized LOC120778045, transcript variant X2
Source: RNAcentral
UCUGUGUGCGGUUUGUGUGGUGCGUGAAAAAUUUUCCCGUUUUGUGUUGGUGGAUAGCGGAAACAUGAAAACUUGUUCAAUCUGAUUGUUAAUUAAUGGAAAAAGUAAAUAAAAGAGCUAUUAUAAGUAAAUCUAAGCGAAAAGUUUAAUACUAUUUCUAAACAUUUUCACUAUAAAGAGGAAAGUUUUUAAUGCUCUCGGUUUUGUGUAAGCGAGCAGAAUUCAGUGUUGUGGAUUUGAGUUUUACAACAAUCGGUUAAUAAAAAGGUAAG